AGUGGCGGACGGGUGAGUAACACGUAAGAAUUUGCCUUUAGGAGGGGGACAACAACUGGAAACGGUUGCUAAUACCCCAUAUGCUUUCGAGUGAAAUGGAUUUUUCCGCCUAAAGAGAGGCUUGCGGCUGAUUAGCUUGUUGGUGAGGUAAUGGCUCACCAAGGCGACGAUCAGUAUCUGGUUUGAGAGGAUGAUCAGACACACUGGAACUGAGACACGGUCCAGACUCCUACGGGAGGCAGCAGUGGGGAAUUUUCCGCAAUGGGCGAAAGCCUGACGGAGCAAUCUCGCGUGAGGGAUGACGGCCUAUGGGUUGUAAACCUCUUUUUUCAGGGAGGAACAAAAUGACGUGUACCUGAAGAAUAAGCAUCGGCUAACUCCGUGCCAGCAGCCGCGGUAAGACGGAGGAUGCAAGUGUUAUCCGGAAUCACUGGGCGUAAAGCGUCUGUAGGUGGUUUAAUAAGUCAACUGUUAAAUCUUGAAGCUCAACUUCAAAAUCGCAGUCGAAACUAUUAGACUAGAGUAUAGUAGGGGUAAAGGGAAUUUCCAGUGGAGCGGUGAAAUGCGUAGAUAUUGGAAAGAGCACCGAUGGCGAAGGCACUUUACUGGGCUAUUACUGACACUCAGAGACGAAAGCUAGGGUAGCAAAUGGGAUUAGAUACCCCAGUAGUCCUAGCCGUAAACAAUGGAUACUAGAUGU
RNAcentral lists this ribosomal RNA (700 nucleotides) under uncultured bacterium. RNAcentral describes it as "bacterial SSU rRNA". It matches the Rfam family "Bacterial small subunit ribosomal RNA", at positions 94 to 823 of the family's 1533-position model. The record is from RNAcentral.